RNAcentral lists this ribosomal RNA (513 nucleotides) under Danielia oregonensis. RNAcentral describes it as "eukaryotic LSU rRNA". It matches the Rfam family "Eukaryotic large subunit ribosomal RNA", at positions 1 to 646 of the family's 3401-position model. Lineage: Eukaryota; Fungi; Ascomycota; Pichiomycetes; Serinales; Metschnikowiaceae. The record is from RNAcentral.
GGCCCCUGCGUAUUAUAUCCGGACACAGAGUGCCGCUGGCUAUAGCUAAGAUUUAACAUCCCUCGCGGAGUUGUAAUUUGAAGGAGGUAGGCUACGCGCGGCAACGGCCCAAGUCCAUUGGAACAUGGCGCCAGGGAGGGUGAGAGCCCCGUCCGGCCACGCGCCGCGUCCGCAGUCUGCCCCCGACGAGUCGAGUUGUUUGGGAAUGCAGCUCAAAGUGGGUGGUAAAUUCCAUCUAAAGCUAAAUAUUGGCGAGAGACCGAUAGCGAACAAGUACAGUGAUGGAAAGAUGAAAAGCACUUUGAAAAGAGAGUGAAACAGUACGUGAAAUUGUUGAAAGGGAAGGGCUUGCAAGCAGACACGGCUUUUGCCGGGCCAGCAUCGGUUUGGGGAGGCGGACAACCGCGGGAGCAUGUGGCGCACCUCGGUGCGUGUUAUAGCUCCCGUCCAUACGCCUUCCCCAGUCCGAGGCCUGCGUUCUAAACUAGGAUGCUGGCGUAAUGGUUGCAAGCC